Molecule: ribosomal RNA, 497 nt
Filed under: uncultured bacterium
Lineage: Bacteria
Description: partial 16S ribosomal RNA
Rfam family: Bacterial small subunit ribosomal RNA
Source: RNAcentral
GACGAACGCUGGCGGCGUGCCUAAUACAUGCAAGUUGAGCGAUGAAGAUUGGUGCUUGCACUAAUUUGAAGAGCAGCGAACGGGUGAGUAACGCGUGGGGAAUCUGCCUUUGAGCGGGGGACAACAUUUGGAAACGAAUGCUAAUACCGCAUAACAACUUUAAACAUAAGUUUUAAGUUUGAAAGAUGCAAUUGCAUCACUCAAAGAUGAUCCCGCGUUGUAUUAGCUAGUUGGUGAGGUAAAGGCUCACCAAGGCGAUGAUACAUAGCCGACCUGAGAGGGUGAUCGGCCACAAUGGGACUGAGACACGGCCCAAACUCCUACGGGAGGCAGCAGUAGGGAAUCUUCGGCAAUUGACGAAAGUCUGACCGAGCAACGCCGCGGGAGGGAAGAAGGUUUUCGGAUCGUAAAACUCUGUUGGUAGAGAAGAACGUUGGUGAGAGUGGAAAGCUCAUCAAGUGACGGUAACUACACAGAAAGGGACGGCUAACUACGUG